Micropterus salmoides (largemouth bass) is the source of this 2684-nucleotide RNA transcript. It is a transcript of the gene named ATP-binding cassette, sub-family D (ALD), member 4, with no coding region annotated. The record is from RefSeq and is a predicted model, not a curated record. The transcript is spliced from 19 exons. NCBI's taxonomy places the organism in Eukaryota, Metazoa, Chordata, Actinopteri, Centrarchiformes, Centrarchidae.
GUUUAUGUUUUACCUACCAAAACACCUAAACGUCAGUCUGCAGAGGAGCAGUAGGGUCGUUUAGACAAUGCUAAAGUUACAAUUAACGUAAUUAUUGUAGCCAUCAAAGAAACAAAGAGAGUUACUUUUUAUAAUAAUUUUGUAGAAAUUUGUGAGUUAUUCCCCUCGUUAACCGUUGCAACGGUUAGUGUUAACCAUAUUUUUCUUUGGCUGCUGGAGACGUUGGUUAAUUUGAAGCUAGCUCGGUCUGCUGGUUAAUAUUCGCUUAACUUACAUCAAGUCUAAAAACAUAUGUGAAGUUUUAUCUGGGAUAAAUAUAAGUCCCCUGCCGCAAGUGCCAAAUGCCUCGCUUGGAAAACUCAGAUGGCAGAGGGACAAGAAGACUAAAAUUAGACUGGAAGUUUGUUCAGAGGUUCUGCAGCAUCCAGAAGACCCUGUUCCCAUCAUGGACCAGUCAAAGUGUUCUGAUGUUUGGGACACUGCUUGGUGUCACUCUGACAGAGCAGCUGAUCAUUUACCAAGUGGGUGUCCUCCCCAGCCAAUUCUACAAUGUGCUAGCAGACAAAGAUUACUCAAGCUUCAGGAACCUGUUGGCCACAGCUAUGGUGCUCAUCUUGCUCAACUCCACAUUGAAAAGUCUUGACCAGUACAUUUGCAAUCAGAUGUAUAUUAGCUGGAGGAAGACGCUAACUGAGAGCCUCCAUACAGCCUACUUCCAGGGCCGGGUCUAUUAUACACUCAAUGUACUCAGAGAGGACAUAGACAACCCAGACCAGCGAAUCAGUCAAGAUGCGGAGAGGUUGUGUAAGCAGAUGAGCACUAUGGCUAGUCGUUUGAUUGUAUCGCCAUUCACACUGGCUUACUACACCUACCAGUGCUUUUAUAGCACUGGCUGGAUCGGUCCUAUGAGUAUCUUUGGCUACUUUGUGCUUGGGACCAUUGCCAAUAAAAUCCUUAUGGGGCCAAUUGUGUCGACUCUGUUUGAGCAAGAAAAACUGGAGGGAGACUUCAGAUUCAAGCACAUGCAGAUCCGUGUCAAUGCAGAGUCUGCCGCUUUUUACAGAGCCGGUAAAGUGGAGCUCAUGAGGACCGACCGAAGACUGCAGGCUCUGUUGCAAACUCAAAAGACUCUAAUAAACAAAGAGCUCUGGCUUUAUAUUGGGGUCAACACCUUUGACUACAUUGGAGCUUUUCUCAGCUACAUUGUAAUUGCCAUUCCCAUCUUCACUGGUGUCUAUGAUGGUCUCACUCCUGGUGAGCUCAGUGCGCUCAUCAGUAAGAAUGCCUUUGUGUGCAUCUACCUGAUAAAUGGCUUCACACAGCUAAUAGACCUGUCAACCACUCUGUCAGACGUGGCGGGAUACACCCACAGGAUUGGGGAGCUGAGGGAGGUGAUGGAUGACAUCCUACACAAGCAGUGUGACUAUGAUCCGGCAUCAGGGGAAAGCUAUGACUUUGACAGUGACUUCAAUGUCCACGCAGGCCCCGUGGACACGGCCUUCAUCCUGGACCAUCUUUCAUACAAAUCUCCUUACUCAGACCAGCUGCUGGUAGAAGAUCUGAGUCUGAAAAUCAGUGAGGGAGCACAUCUGCUAGUGGUGGGGAACACUGGCACCGGCAAGACGUCACUACUAAGGGUCCUCAACAGACUUUGGGAGGCACACAGUGGUUUUGUCCAGAUGACCACAUGUUUCGGGCCCAGAGGAACCCUCUUCCUGCCACAGAAACCUUACCUGACUGAUGGCACGCUGCGCGAACAGGUGAUCUACCCACUGAAGGAUAUUUACCCUGCAUCAGGGUCAGCGGACGAUAACAGAAUUAUACAGUUCCUGGAGCUAGCUGGAGUGUCCAGUCUCCUGAAGCGGACAGGCGGCCUAGAUGAAAAGGUGGACUGGAACUGGUAUGAUGUUCUGUCUCCAGGUGAAAUGCAGCGUCUCUGCUUUGCGCGACUCUUCUACCUGCAGCCCAAAUAUGCAGGUGUGGUGUUCUGGAUUUCGUGUUGGAUGAGGCCACCAGUGCUUUGACGGAGGAGGCAGAAGCACAGCUGUACCGAACCUGUAAACAGCUUGGCAUGACUUUGGUCAGUCUGGGACACCGGAGCAGCCUGGUGAAGUACCAUGAUAUCCAGUUGAAACUGUGUGGAGAAGGCCGGUGGGAGUUAACCAGGUUAAGAAGAAGCAGCGGGCACGUGACCGAAGAGUCUGCUCUUUAAAACCCUGGACAUGCAGGAAGCAUCAGGGUGGGAGACGAGAACAGAAAACACUCCUAAAUUCCUCAAGCUACUAACAUUCAAGUGCUCUUCAACAAGGUACUUUAAAACCAUAUAUUCUCAUAUCCACAGGCAGUUUAAGAGAACAAUGUUUCUCACCAGCCAGCUUGGUUAAAUACGAGCUUCAGAAAGUGGGUGGGAGUGCAACAUUCUUCCAAGGAAGAUGACUGAGGCUUGUGGGUCAGAAAGGAGAGCUCUACCAAAAUGUUCUGGACCCAAAUACUUUGAAAGACAGAUGGUUUAAAUGGAGUAAAUUCGUCCAUCCUGACAGGAAAUGGGGGGGGGGGGGGAGACCUUUUAGACCAAAAUCUUGUGUACCUUUUUAUGUGAGAUUACAUUUGUUUUAUUGUAUUAUGUUCACAUUACAUUGGGAAUAUUAGUUCCAAUUAUGUAAUAAAAACACACACUGUUCUCA